AGGACGAACGCUGGCGGCGCGCUUAACGACAUGCAAGUCGAGCGAGAACCGGUCCUUCGGGACCGGGGAAAGCGGCGAACGGGUGAGUAACACGUGGGUAAUCAACCCUUGACUCUGGGAUAGCCCGGGGAAACUCGGAUUAAUACCGGAUGGCCCAACAGCUCUUCGGGGCGGUUGGAAAAGGUAGCUUCGGCCUCCGGUCAGGGACGAGCCCGCGGCGGAUUAGCUUGUUGGUGAGGUAACGGCUCACCAAGGCGACGAUCCGUAGCUGGUCUGAGAGGACGAUCAGCCACACUGGGACUGAGACACGGCCCAGACUCCUACGGGAGGCAGCAGUGGGGAAUCUUGCACAAUGGGCGAAAGCCUGAUGCAGCGACGCCGCGUGAGGGAAGAAGGCUUUCGGGUUGUAAACCGUCUUUCAGAAGGGACGAAGCUCCUCGGGUUAAUAGCCCAGAGGGUGACGGUACCUUCAGAAGAAGCCCCGGCUAACUACGCGCCAGCAGCCGC
This 507-nucleotide ribosomal RNA is filed under the name uncultured bacterium. RNAcentral's name for it is "SSU rRNA". It matches the Rfam family "Bacterial small subunit ribosomal RNA", at positions 26 to 518 of the family's 1533-position model. The record is from RNAcentral.